AGCCUGAACGCUGGCGGCGUGGCUAAGACAUGCAAGUCGUACGGGUGUAGCAAUACACCAGUGGCGAACGGGUGAGUAAUGUAUCGCUAAUGUGCCCCGGAUUCUGGGAUAGCUAUCCGAAAGGGUAGGUAAUACCAGAUGAUAUAACUUUGCCGCAUGGCAGAGUUCUCAAAGGAGUAAUCCGCUCUGGGAGCAGGCGAUAUCGUAUCAGCUAGUUGGUGAGGUAACGGCUCACCAAGGCGACGACGCGUAGCCGGACUGAGAGGUUGGCCGGCCACAUUGGGGACUGAGACACUGCCCAGACUCCUACGGGGGGCUGCAGUAACGAAUCUUCCGCAAUGCACGAAAGUGUGACGGAGCGACGCCGCGUGUGGGACGAAGCCCUUCGGGGUGUAAACCACUGUCAGGGGUUAGAAAGUUCUGAUCAACCCAGAGGAAGGCACGGCUAACUCUGUGCCAGCAGCCGCGGU
This 470-nucleotide ribosomal RNA is filed under the name uncultured bacterium. RNAcentral describes it as "SSU rRNA". It matches the Rfam family "Bacterial small subunit ribosomal RNA", at positions 26 to 521 of the family's 1533-position model. The record is from RNAcentral.